GAUGAACGCUGGCGGCGUGCCUAAUACAUGCAAGUCGAGCGAACGGGCUAGAAGCUUGCUUCUCUGAUGUUAGCGGCGGACGGGUGAGUAACACGUGGAUAACCUACCUAUAAGACUGGGAUAACUUCGGGAAACCGUAGCUAAUACCGGAUAAUAUUUUGAACCGCAUGGUUCAAAAGUGAAAGACGGUCUUGCUGUCACUUAUAGAUGGAUCCGCGCUGCAUUAGCUAGUUGGUAAGGUAACGGCUUACCAAGGCAACGAUGCGUAGCCGACCUGAGAGGGUGAUCGGCCACACUGGAACUGAGACACGGUCCAGACUCCUACGGGAGGCAGCAGUAGGGAAUCUUCCGCAAUGGGCGAAAGCCUGACGGAGCAACGCCGCGUGAGUGAUGAAGGUCUUCGGAUCGUAAAACUCUGUUAUUAGGGAAGAACAUAUGUGUAAGUAACUGUGCACAUCUUGACGGUACCUAAUCAGAAAGCCACGGCUAACUACGUG
This 497-nucleotide ribosomal RNA is filed under the name uncultured bacterium. RNAcentral describes it as "partial 16S ribosomal RNA". It matches the Rfam family "Bacterial small subunit ribosomal RNA", at positions 28 to 507 of the family's 1533-position model. The record is from RNAcentral.